GCAAACAGUGGGAAAGGUAUUUCAAGAGCUAACCUUGUGACAAAGCUUAAUUUAUUGAAGGUGUGUGAUUAUCCUUUUCAAUUUGUAAUCCUAUAAUGUUGAAUAUGAUUUUAAAUGAACAGUUGUUGCAAGUUUGUAACAUUACUCUCGCCUCUUAUAAAAUGCUUCAAUUGGACUCAAACUAUAUGCAUGAUUGUGCGGGAUAUAUGAAUUUGUCGGCAAGACUAUCGCCAGAGAUACUUGGUCUCGGAUUAUUAAUUUUAUUUUCUUGAACCUUAGGUUCCACAUGAGCUCUCUUUGCAUUUGAAUGAUUUUGUCCGUACAAAGGAUUGCAGGUAUGAGUUUACUAUGUAAUUCCUCUCAGUACGUCUGGUUUUGUGUCUAUGCAGUACCGAUGCACUAUCCUCUUCUUGCUGCAGACAUUACUGACUUUAUAUGUCAUUUUUCAGCUGCUAGUGUAGGAGAAUAAAUUAAAGCAAAAAUUAGUUACUUUUUAUUUUAAAGUUCCUCUAUCAGUAUUUCUGUACUUUUUGGGAAGCUGGUAAAGGUCCUCAUUUGAUUCAGGCUGUAAUUCAAGCUGGUUUGCUAAAAGAAGGUUUAUGUUUUGUACAGGACGAGAGUGCAGGUCAAUUACAUCUUAAUUUUAAUUCAAGCAAAAGUUUAGUAAUUGCUAGUAUAUUUGAAUAAGUUAUUGGGUUCAGUUACUUGCUGGCUUUUUCAGGAUUAUUUUUGCUUGCCAGAAAUGUCUUACUUUCCUGUUAGAUGGUUCUUUAAAUAAUGUCAUUUGUCCAUGUAUUCAUGUAUACAGAGGGAAAUUUAUACUGUGUUCUAUUUUGCUAAGAGUAUAUUUUAGUUUUUAAGUUAUUAUUGGUGGACUUUUUAUAUGGCUAUCUUCUUAAACUGUAUACUGCAAUCUCAUUACAGGUCUGGUAGUUUCUGUCUAUGCAGAGGUAAGAUACUGGGUGUUUCAGAAAUAUUUCAUUUUUUUUUUCCUGAGCAUGCUUCUACCAUUAAUUAAUUUCUUUUGUUUUUUUUCUAUUUUGUCUCCUUCAUUUGUUUUCAAGGUUCCAUGUCUUUUCUUUGUUUAUUUGAUUGCAAUGUUAAUGUACUGUAGGGUUUUCUAAGACAGAAGCUAUCUGGCCAAGGGCUUGCAUUUAUAAUUGCAGGUGGAUCUAGUAAGCAUUUCUUGAUGCAUUCUGCCACAGAUUCUACAAAGAUGUUCAGUCGAUUCUUAGUUGUUAGAUGUCAAUUUAAAUGUGUGGUUUUAUCUAUUUGCUAAAUCAAACCACCUCUCUUGUUUUCUUCUUUUCUUCCUGCCCUUUUUGCUCUAAAUUUAACCUCAGAUCCUAAACUAAAAGUAUUUGUAGUUUCUUUUGUUGCAUGACAAAAUAAACUUCUUACAUUGUCUCUUGAACAAAACUAGCAAAAUCUUAACCUCUCUUUUCAAGAAUACUCUUUCAUAAAACUUUUCAGUGAUAGUAAAAAUGGAGAUGCAUAGGACAUUCAGAAGAGUGGGAGAUACAAAAGGCUCUUUGCAGCAUCAUUCUUUGCAAUUCGUAAAAUGUUAUAUUAGAAAUGCUAAAAAAAAGGACAAACUUCUGCUACUUUUGUUGAAAACUCUUGGAAUAAUGUUUCUUUCUUGGCCAAUCUAGCUAGUGAUCCCUUAGUUGGACUUGGACUAAUCUUAGAAUUUUUUUGGCUUUCUCCAUUGAUGCUAGUUGUAUAGAAAAAUCUUGAGGUGGGCAAGGUACUAUCUGUUGAUGUUUCUUGUAUAGCAGUUGUGACUAGCUACAACAGUCAACGUCCAAAUCAAAUACAAUGGGCCCAUGAGAAGAGCAGUGUUUGGUAUAACUGAGAUCCUCAAGCUAGUAAGAAGGCUUUACAUACUCAUU
This is a long non-coding RNA of Rosa rugosa (rugosa rose), 1892 nucleotides long. RefSeq lists it as uncharacterized. Lineage: Eukaryota; Viridiplantae; Streptophyta; Magnoliopsida; Rosales; Rosaceae. The record is from RefSeq and is a predicted model, not a curated record. The transcript is spliced from 2 exons.